Molecule: transfer RNA, 75 nt
Filed under: Bacteriophage sp.
Description: tRNA-OTHER
Source: RNAcentral
UGAAAGCACCGUAGCACGUGCCUUUCACGAUUUGGGAGCAGGAGGCCGCGAGUUCGAGUCUCGCCACUCCGACCA